This 69-nucleotide transfer RNA is filed under the name Pentanemus quinquarius. RNAcentral's name for it is "tRNA-His". It matches the Rfam family "tRNA". Rfam says of the family: Transfer RNA (tRNA) molecules are approximately 80 nucleotides in length. Lineage: Eukaryota; Metazoa; Chordata; Actinopteri; Polynemidae. The record is from RNAcentral.
GUAAAUAUAGUUUAACAAAAAUAUUAGAUUGUGAUUCUGAAGUUAGGGGUUAAAAUCCCCUUAUUUACC